AUCUCGUCGGUGACAGCUGAUAAAAUUGGAUCGAUAUAGAAAAGAUUAGCAUUGGAGCCGGAACAAGGAUGACCCACACAAAGUAGUACCUCAAGCAAAUUAGU
Phoenix dactylifera (date palm) is the source of this 104-nucleotide non-coding RNA. Lineage: Eukaryota; Viridiplantae; Streptophyta; Magnoliopsida; Arecales; Arecaceae. The record is from RefSeq and is a predicted model, not a curated record.